RNAcentral lists this ribosomal RNA (301 nucleotides) under uncultured bacterium. RNAcentral's name for it is "partial 16S ribosomal RNA". It matches the Rfam family "Bacterial small subunit ribosomal RNA", at positions 509 to 807 of the family's 1533-position model. The record is from RNAcentral.
CAGUCGCCGCGGUAAUACGGAGGGUGCAAGCGUUAAUCGGAAUUACUGGGCGUAAAGCGCACGCAGGCGGUUUGUUAAGUCAGAUGUGAAACCCCCGAGCUUAACUUGGGAACUGCAUUUGAAACUGGCAAGCUAGAGUCUUGUAGAGGGGGGUAGAAUUCCAGGUGUAGCGGUGAAAUGCGUAGAGAUCUGGAGGAAUACCGGUGGCGAAGGCGGCCCCCUGGACAAAGACUGACGCUCAGGUGCGAAAGCGUGGGGAGCAAACAGGAUUAGAUACCCCAGUAGUCCCUGUCACUUAUAC